GAUGAACGCUGGCGGCGUGCCUAAUACAUGCAAGUCGAGCGAACAGACGAGGAGCUUGCUCCUCUGACGUUAGCGGCGGACGGGUGAGUAACACGUGGAUAACCUACCUAUAAGACUGGGAUAACUUCGGGAAACCGGAGCUAAUACCGGAUAAUAUAUUGAACCGCAUGGUUCAAUAGUGAAAGACGGUUUUGCUGUCACUUAUAGAUGGAUCCGCGCCGCAUUAGCUAGUUGGUAAGGUAACGGCUUACCAAGGCGACGAUGCGUAGCCGACCUGAGAGGGGGACCGCCCACAUGAGAAGGGAGCCCGGCCCAGGCCCCCUGGGGGAGGCAGAAGGGGGGAACCUGCGGAAAGGGGCAAAACCCGGCGGGACCAACCCGGGGGGAGGGAGAAGGGUCUUGGGAUCUAAAACCUUUUUUAGGGGGAAAAAAAAAAUGUUAAAGAAACAAUGCAGGUCUGGAGGUAACAAAACAAAAAAGCCCCGGAAAACUCGGUC
This 497-nucleotide ribosomal RNA is filed under the name uncultured bacterium. Its description in RNAcentral is "partial 16S ribosomal RNA". It matches the Rfam family "Bacterial small subunit ribosomal RNA", at positions 28 to 507 of the family's 1533-position model. The record is from RNAcentral.